CCUACGGGCGGCAGCGGUGGGGAAUAUUGGACAAUGGGGGCAACCCUGAUCCAGCCAUGCCGCGUGUGUGAAGAAGGCCCUCGGGUUGUAAAGCACUUUCAGUGAGGAAGAACGCCUGGUGGUUAAUACCCAUCAGGAAAGACAUCACUCACAGAAGAAGCACCGGCUAACUCCGUGCCAGCAGCCGCGGUAAUACGGAGGGUGCGAGCGUUAAUCGGAAUUACUGGGCGUAAAGCGCGCGUAGGUGGCUUGAUAAGCCGGUUGUGAAAGCCCCGGGCUCAACCUGGGAACGGCAUCCGGAACUGUCAAGCUAGAGUGCAGGAGAGGAAGGUAGAAUUCCCGGUGUAGCGGUGAAAUGCGUAGAGAUCGGGAGGAAUACCAGUGGCGAAGGCGGCCUUCUGGACUGACACUGACACUGAGGUGCGAAAGCGUGGGUAGCAAACAGGAUUAGAUACCCGAGUAGUC
RNAcentral lists this ribosomal RNA (465 nucleotides) under Vreelandella stevensii. RNAcentral's name for it is "partial 16S ribosomal RNA". It matches the Rfam family "Bacterial small subunit ribosomal RNA", at positions 338 to 795 of the family's 1533-position model. The record is from RNAcentral. Lineage: Bacteria; Pseudomonadati; Pseudomonadota; Gammaproteobacteria; Oceanospirillales; Halomonadaceae.